Molecule: long non-coding RNA, 9306 nt
Filed under: Nicotiana benthamiana
Lineage: Eukaryota; Viridiplantae; Streptophyta; Magnoliopsida; Solanales; Solanaceae
Description: long non-coding RNA (NBEN_LNC034680)
Source: RNAcentral
CAAGACUUAUACGAAAGUUUAGUCUUCACUUUUCUUGUCUUCAAUUUGCUUGUCUUCUUCUUUUCACUAAUAUUGUAUAAAAAUUAUUAUAUUGUCAAUAUAUAUAACAUAAAUGUAUACUAUUUCAUAAAUAAAAAAUCUUGAGACAUAAUUUGAGUUAAGAGAGCACAUCAAUUUUGACUUGUCAGCCAUCUCAAAUAAACUCUUUUCUUCAAUAGAAACGCGUCAUUUGUUUCAUUCUUCAUAUUUCUCCUUUUAGUUAUUUUGUAUGGAAGCUAGGGGUAAACUGCGACGAAUUUGCAUCCAAUGCAACGUUAAGUGGGGUUUGGACAUAAGAAUAGUGAAAUUCUAGGAAAAAAGUGAAAAACAUUUUUAAGUUAAAAAGUUACUUGAAAAUUAGAGAUGUUUUUGGACAUGAAUACAAUUUGAAGCUGUUUUUUAAUUUUUGCGAGUGAUCUGAAGUGAAUUUUGAAAAAAUAACCUUUGAGAGUUUUUCAAAUUUUCGAAAUUUUUUGAAAUUCUACUUUAAGUGUGAAUUUAUCCGAAAAAAGUGAUUUUUUUUAAAGAGUAAAAUAUUUAUGUACGUAAAUAUGCAUAAUACUAUUUCAACUUCUCAUUAAGGCUAGCUUACGUGAAACUCUCUUUUCAUUUUCUUUUUUGUUCAUUUUUUCAGAAAAAAAAAAAAGCCUACAAGGAAAUUGGCUAUUGUAAACCAUAAAAGUACGUAUCAUCCUUCAUAUAAAUAUAGAGGGUAUAAAAGAACCGAAACCCUUCCAUUUUUCAAUUUCAGGAUAACCAUUUGAUAGAUACAUGGGGGAGUAAAAAGUAAAAUUCAGAGGGUAUUUUUCAAAGUUAAAAAUGAAAGCUAAGUGAAGAUCUACGAAAUUUUAUAAAGAUAAAAUGAGUGUUUCAUAUUUUUUCUUUUAAAAGGAAAACAACGAAGGCAAACCGCGAAUGAUACAUGAGGACCCUUUCUGAAUUUCUUCUGUUAAUUUUCCAGGAAACAACGAGCCCUAAUUGGGAAACCUAGAGGCAUAUGUAAGAUUUAAGCUUUACGGGUUCAAAAUUUAAGAUUUUUAGAGUUGAAAUAUUUUAUAUACUAUUUAAUAUUAUGGGUUCAUUGAUCUACAAAUUGUUAUAAAUUUUGUACACAUAAAUUUAUGUAAUUGUAGAGCUACAUCUGCCUCUGCUUUCACCGUGUGAAUAUGUCCUUGAUUUUAUGAUUGGUAUUGACCUAUAUGUAGCCGCAUAUCUUAAAAAGAAAAAAAGAUCAGAAGAUAUUUAAAGAAAUUAAAGAUGAUACAGUCAGGCCUCUUCUCUAUAACAUCAUCCCUAUAUAACAACACUUAACUAUAAAAGUCAAGCUUUUCCGGAACCAAUUUUCAUGUUAUGUUUAGUAUAUGUUCUCUAUAACAGCACUUUGCUAUGACAUUCAAAAAUAUUUGGAACAAACGAGGCUCCUAUAGAAUGGUUUAACUGUAGUUUGCUAAGUUUGGAGAGUAACUAGUAUUCUGAAAUGAGCAUGAUAGGUCCAAAUAGCAUUUACUGAUGAUAAUACGAGUUUAGAUAGGGUUAGAAUAUUAAAAAAAGCUGCUGAUCAACUAUUAAGUGCAUGCAGGCUGAGGAAGAAAAAUAACGUAAAAUAACAUAAUUAAUUAACGUUGUUAUAUAGGACGCACUUCAAUUCAGUGACAAGCCAAGUAAAUCAAGAAACAGUGCAAGUUUAGGACACGAGGUAUAUAUGGCAAACGACCAGUCGUGGUUCUGGAAUACAAGCUAUGGGUUCACGGGAAUGAGUAGUUUUUGCUUAAAUUUUGUAUGUGCGCUAAACUGUCUCACUAAAUAUCUAUAAAUAUUUGAUCCUAAUAAUCCUAAGUAAUGACUACUUGAUAAGUUAUUGAUGAAGUGAAUCUAUCAUUGCAGGAGAUGGUGAAGUUAGAAAUUUAAGACAGUCUUGGCUUAGAAUCCUUGUACUUGUUCGUUUCAUUGCCGUGGCCAAAAUAGCAGCAACACCAUCUGCAUCCCCUCUCACGAGCGAUUAUGUCCAGGCAAGUAGCUAUUUCCUCAUGUACAUAUUGGUGCUAGAAUACUGUUCCAACAACGAACACCUUCCUACCGCUAGAUAAAACUGGUUUUCCUCUAAAAUUCACUCUAUAUCCAAAGAGCAACUAUUCAAAGGUCUACGAAUAGUAUUAUUUUAUGUUAAGGUUUUAAGAGUGACAUGGUGUUUAAGAAAGAAAUAUAGAUUGAUACUUUUAAACUUGUGACAUAAAAUGAGUCUAUAAAAUCAUAUCAUUAAGGGUAAAAAAAAAAAGUUAAAAUAUUUCUAAUAUAAAAAGUGUGAUCAUUUUAGAAAAUUAUUAAAAAAGUGUAUCAUAUAAUAUGGGAUGGAGAGUAUAAAUUAAGGAUGAGAUAGGCACUAUGCUGAUCAAGGUAUAGUUGAAGCAAUUGACUAGAAUAAGAGAAAGCACCUAAACAUAUAAAUACUUAUGUAUUAAUGCUAUUUAUGUAAGCCAAGUUGGAAGAAGCCCGGAGAAGUAUAUUUUCCUCCAUCUCUCUUCAAAAUAAAAUGAUUGGCCGGUUGAAAGUAAUCCUCAUAGUUUCCAGCAUCAUUUAUAUACGAAAAUACUACAAUCUCAACUUAGGUAAUUCUUCCUUCACUCAAACCACUUCUAAUAUAGAGCAGCACUAGCUAAGAAGCUACAUAAGUUUUUAACUCAUAACAUCCUUAACGUAUACUCAUAAGUUUAGCUAAAUAGCGACACUUCAAAUUACAGUACUUUGACAAACUCAAAUGCAAGAGUCAAAACACACAAAAUACUUACAUUUUUACUAUAAAAACAAUGCAAAAUGCAGAUAGAGGAGGAGGGAUUUUCAUAUUUCGAUAAUUAAAAAUGAGGCUAACCCUUUCUAUUUAUAGCCAAAGAAGUUAACUCCCAACGGUGCAAGGGUGCAUGUUUGUUGAUAAUGUAUCUAUUCAGCAUAAAUUGUUUGAAUUUCUGUUGAAUGGAAUGUUUGGUCUCGAAUUAGACCGUUGAAAAAUAAUUUCGCUAAUUUCCAAAUUUAUGUGAAAAAAUAUUAGAAAAUAAAAUAUUAAAUGAUGAAAAAGGAAAUUAAAUUUGGUCCUAGAAAUUAUCAAUCAAUCAAAUCCGAUGGCGAAGCCGAGCAACGAUGGCGGCGGCGCGAGGCUUGCUCUCCUCUAAACUCUUUAAGAGCAAGAAGAAGUCAUUUCAUAUAUAAGCACAAGAAUUUAUGAACAAGAAAUUGAUAUGCCUUACUGUUUGUUGCAUAUCGUAUGAAAACACAAUCAAUGAUUUUUGGUUUAAUUUUUACCCUUUUGGGUUUAGGGACAUGUACUUUAGCCAAACAAACCCCCCCCCCCCCCNNNNNNNNNNNNNNNNNNNNNNNNNNNNNNNNNNNNNNNNNNNNNNNNNNNNNNNNNNNNNNNNNNNNNNNNNNNNNNNNNNNNNNNNNNNNNNNNNNNNNNNNNNNNNNNNNNNNNNNNNNNNNNNNNNNNNNNNNNNNNNNNNNNNNNNNNNNNNNNNNNNNNNNNNNNNNNNNNNNNNNNNNNNNNNNNNNNNNNNNNNNNNNNNNNNNNNNNNNNNNNNNNNNNNNNNNNNNNNNNNNNNNNNNNNNNNNNNNNNNNNNNNNNNNNNNNNNNNNNNNNNNNNNNNNNNNNNNNNNNNNNNNNNNNNNNNNNNNNNNNNNNNNNNNNNNNNNNNNNNNNNNNNNNNNNNNNNNNNNNNNNNNNNCCCACUUUAAAGUAUUUUAAGUUAGAUUUUCUUCCUUUCUAUUUUUUAUAUUUAAUGGAUUAUGUUUUGCUAUGGGUAACCCGAUUGAGUAUUCAGUUAGCCGUAAGAAUAGCUUCCUUCACAAGUUCUGAGGUAAACCGGAACUUAUUGACAAGGCAUUCAUCGCCUCAUUUAACGUUCUAUUCCUUUUUUAUGCAAUUCCAUUAGAUUGCGGUGAGUUAUAAGGGGCAAUUGUUCGGUGAAUAAUGCCAUAUUCCAAACAUAUUUCUUCAAAAGAAGAUCUAUAUUCGCCACCCCGAUCACUUCUUAUCAUUUUGAUCUUUUUGUUUAGUAUUAAUUAUUAAGUAAGUAAAAUAUAGCAAUAUCUAGUACUAUCGUCAAUAGAAGUUAUUAAAUUAAAAGCCUAUAUUAAUUAUCGGUAUAGUUAUAGAUAUAUAAAACCUACUAUCUUAUUAAAAUAUAUACAGUACGGCUCGAUUCAGUUAGUUUAACCUAUUUUUAAAGAUACAUCGACACCCCCAAUAAUUAUAACAAGUACUUAACAUGGAGAUUUGAAACUCUUUCUUUCCUUAUUUUUUCUGCAACGGUGAAGUAAUUGAUCAUUUAUUUGUGUUGUUCUUGUAGGAUUUAGAAAGAGGACCAACUACUGACGAUGCAGCACAUGAGCCUCUGGAUGAUAAAACUUGUGCUGAGCUGCAAGUUCUUCAAAGGAAUAACAUUAAUCGUAUCGUCCAAGAGAAGAACUGGGAUGAGCUUAAUGACUUCGGAGGAGUCAUUGGAGUUGCAGAAGAGUUGGAUAGUCACCUGGAAAAUGGAAUUGAUAGUGACACUAAAGAUAUGCGUCUGCGCAACGAAUCGAUCAAGUUUCCUCAAACUUGUGUACCUCUUGUAUUCAUGUUCUUGCGUGAAGCAUUCAAAGGCUGGACUAUUUCCUUGCUCGCACUGAAUGCAUUACUUUCUCUUGCCUUUGGAAUUUUCGAAGAAGGGAUACAGAAGUGUUGGUUCGACAACAUGAUUCUGCUUUUAUCCGUACUCGGCCUGGUAAAGUUUAAGUUGGUGUGGAUAUACUUGGAAACAAAAAAAUUACUGAAGAAGAUGGAGGAGCGUAAAACGAAGAUAUUGAGGGAGACAAAGGAGGUCCAUGUUAUUCGAGGAGGAAUCGAGGGUCUGGUUCCAUGCUCUGAUCUUGUUUCUGGUGAUAUAAUCUGUAUAAGGAGAGGAAACCUAAUCCCUGCAAAUGGGUUAUUUGUUUAUAAUUGUGGGGAAGCGUUAGAGGUAGGAGAUAAUGACGAUGAUGAUGUGAAGUUGUUUAUCAGUGAGAAGAACCCAUUUUUGUUAAUUGGUUCCAAAGUGAUUGAGGGUGAUGCUAAGAUGAUAGUGACAUCGUCUGUUGGCGAUGAGGCAGAAUGGACUGAAAGAAUGAGAAGAGCAAUAGCUGAAACAUCAAAUAAAGCUUUCGGUUUUGGUGCUUGUUUUGAGAAUUUGCGUACCACGAUUCAUGUUGUUGGGCUUGUCAUCAAUAUUCUAACCCUUGUGGUUUUGUUCGUGCGCUUUAAAUUUGGGCAGAAAGAUAAUGAGUACGGACAGAGACCAGAAACUAAGGAAGAACCAGUUGAAUUUAGACGGAUAGUAAAUUCCAUCAGAAAAUUUGUUAGAGAUCAAUCCAAAUUGACAACCUUGCUUUGUGUUUCACUGGUGGGGAUGACGGAAGGAUUACCUCUCGUUGUAGCAAUAGCAAUUGCGUAUUGGAAAGGGAAGAUAAUAUCAAACAAGGACUAUUCCAAAGUUAAUGUAGCAUUGCUCCUCGAGGCAGAGUCAUCAGUUACUAUUAUUUGUUCCGCAAAGACCGGUUGGUUAGCACAGGAGAAUCAUCAGGAAGUUGUCAAAGAUGCUGGUGAAACUCUCACAGAAGGUGAAGUGAAGAUCAUAUUUGUCUCAGAAGAUGAUGUUGAUGAACUUAAAAACGUCGUCUGUGAAGCUGGGUUGGUUAAUAACCUUAACUCCGACGAUACUCUGGUGAUUAAAGGUGAGGAUUUUCAUCAAUUAACUGAUGAGGAAAGGAUGGAGAAUGUAGAUAGAAUCUGCAUAAUGGGAAAUUCCUCACUUACUCACAAGCUGCUUCUGGUAAAGUGUUUGAAGCGAAAAGGCAAAAGCGUUCAUGUGCUUGGCGAAUGCAUAGCUGAUGGUUUGGUAAUCGAAAAGGCAGACUUUGGCCGGUAUAUAGAUACUUGGAGUUUUGAUUACCUGAUAGGUAUGAUCAAGUUUGGAAGAUUUAUUAGUGGGAAUAUGAGGAAACUUAUCCAAAUUGAGCUCAUUCUGACUUUUGCUAGUUUGUCAAUAAACUUGAUCUCAGUUAUGAUUACAGGAGAUGCUCCGUUAACAACUCUUCAGUUAGUCUGGCUCCAUUUUCUUGUUACAUUUCCUGGAGGUGUAGCAUUGCUCUCAGGAGUGGAGGAUGAAAUGUUAGUAAUUAGACGACGUAAACCACUAAUAACAAAGGCAAUGUGGAGGAACAUAAUAAUUCAAGUUACUUAUCAGGUUGGCAUCUUUGUGGCCUUUCAAUGCAAAGGAAAAGACAUCCAUAGCAUCAGUAGUCAAGAGAUUAAUUCCAUAAUAUUCAACGCAUUUGCUCUCUGCCAAUUGCUCAACAUAUUCUGUGGCAGAGAGCCGGAGAAGAAGAACAUCUUUAACAGUCUUGGUUAUAAUUAUUGGUUUUGGAUAGCGGCUGGAUUUUCUCUUAUUUUGCAGGUGGCAGUUGUUGAGGUAGCACCUAUAUUUAGCAACAGUUGGCGACUGAACUGGAAGCUAUGGGUUGUAUGCUUUUUAAUUGCUGCAGCUACAUGGUUCUUUGAUUGGGCAGGAAAGUAUGCAUCACAACUGCUUCUUCGUCUAUGUGCAUUAGCCUCAACUGUGGAUGAGUAAUUUACACGUUUUGCAUUACAGAUUCAUGUAAAUUUGUGAUUAUGAGAUUUGUUUGCCCGGGGCGGCCGACGAAUUUUAUGGCCUAAAGCCAAAUUUUACGAGGCUUUAAUUUUUAUUUUUUUUAAAUUAUUUAUUUGAAGUCUAUUUUUAUAAUUUUUUUUAGAUACAAAGUUGUUAAUAAUUUUGUUAUAAUCAAUAACUCUUAAUAAAUAUUCUCAAUUGAUAAUAUAGCUAAUUCAUUUAACCUUUCUUGUGACAUCUUAGGUUCGAUUUAGAAAAAAUAAAAGAAAGGGGCCAAAAAAUAUCGACAUAACAAAAUGUUGAAAAUCGAGAUAACAUUUUGCAAACACACCACACAAUGUAAAACUUAUAUCUCUAUUUUUGUGCAAUGGAAUAAUUAGCAGAGACAGAGCUAUGACUUAAAGUUUAUAUGUUAUCGUGGAAUCGGCCAUAUAUAGUUUGUCUUAGUUAUUGGACUCAUAAUUAAAUAUUUAUGAAUAUAUUUAAUAAAUUUUCUACAAAUAUAUUGUUUAAGCAAAAGUGACUGGGUUCAAUCAAAUAGGCACGUAAUAGGCUAAUUCCGCCUCUGAUUACAAAGUAUAACUAAUGUUAAAGACGUAAAAGAAAUUGUUUACUUUACCUCAUAACAUAUGCAGGGAACAUCAAGAACAAACGUUUUCAAACGACCUCAUGAAUGUCGGCACGCCAGCUACAAUGCUGCAAAUUUUAAUGAAUAUCAAGAUAAAUGAAAAUGUUGAUGAAGUUAAGAACUUACAAAAUAUAGAAGGACGAUCUAUUUAAACUGAAUUUUUUUUUAAAAAAAAGCAAGACAUAAAAACUAGAACCAAGUGAGUGCAUAUUAAUCGAUGGUUAAGUGAUAAAAAAUUGUGUAAAAAUAUAUAUCAUGCACUUGUUAAUUUAAAAUAAAAGUAUGAGUUGCCAAUAAGCUGUUAACGCGCGCGCACCGAAUAUGAAUUGAACUUACAACAGCUGCCGACUGCUUUAAUAAUGGGGCAAAGAGUCGGUCAACAUACUACGGCGCAGGUUAGUAAAACAAGCAUAAAGUCAAAUGAAAAAUUAUCACUAUUUUAUUGUAACAAGGAUCGAUCCAACAUAAUAUACUGAAGAUUAAUGUACCAGUGUAUGAACUUCCAGCAUAUUAUGCCGGAACUCCAACACGCAGAAAGUUCCAACAUAAUAUACUGGAGAUUGGAGCAUAUGUGUAUGAACUUCCAGCAUAUUAUACUAGAACUCCAGUAUAUUUAUGCUAGAGUUCUAGUAUACUUAUGUUAGAACUCCAUUGUAAUAUGUUGGAGUUCCAGUAUACUUAUGCUGGAACUCCAGUAUAUUAUACAACAAUAACAACAAUAACUACCCAGUAUAAUCCCACAAAGUGGUGUAACUCCAGUAUAUUAUGCAGAAGUAUUUUUCGAAUUUUAAACAGUAUUUUCGUUCAAAUUUAUCUUUAGCUGAAAAAUGGCUAAAUUUUAACUUCUUUGAAAAUUAUGUCUAUUUUUAAAUGUCCAUUUUUAAAUUUUACUAUUUUUGAAUUUCUCCCCGGGUUAGCAUAGCAGGCCCUACCUAUUUUUGGAAGACACAUCCCUAAUGAAAGACCAAAACGCUCCUAACAAUUAUGUCCUAACUAAGUUUCAUGUGGGCGUUCACUACGAUCUGCAGGUCUUUCCCUCAGACUAUGUUUCAUGUUGGCGUUACCAUAAUUCACAAGUCAAUUUGUGAGAUUCAUUGUUUACCCUCCAUGUUGUUUAGAGUAUUUGUGCCAAUUGAAGUUUGCAACUGCUUUUUUGUUUGUGUGCGCCUCUAAGCUCUUAAUGGAAAGUAAUCCAGCCUCACGCCAUCAUUCUAUUAUCACCAUAUCUUUUAUGUUAACCUAUAGGCUCUCGUACCAAUUGUAGAGCUGAACUAGCCUAAAAAUACUUUUAAUGUAAUGUGAUAUUGUUUAUUUUGGACUAAGUCACGUGAUUUUUCUAAAGGAUCUCAUAUCAUUAAAAGUAUCUGACACAUUAUAUCUAACUUCCUAAUUUUUUUAGCUAUCAAUAUAAGUUAUGUUUUAUAUUACCACACAAAUAUUUAAGAUCAUAAAUUUUAAAAUUCGCGUCUAAUCAAACUAUGUCACAUAAAUUGAUUGUCUUAAUUAGCCCGUGGCUUCUUCCCCCUGCUGUGAACUCCUAUAUCUAAUUGCAAGUGCUCCCUCUGUCUUUCUUCCUUACAAUGAAAAUUGUAGACAUCAUCUAGCAGUUUGAGAAAGUGCAGAGAACAAUCUCAGUCCGUUGUGUCUUUAGAAAACAAGUUAAAUACAAAAAGGGAAGAGCUAAGCUAACAAGAAUGAACAAGAGAUGAGUCUUCAUAAAAGAAAGCAGAGAAUUAGAUAUCUUUACCUUAAAAUUGUGCAAUAUAAUGGAGAGUGGAAGCAGGAAAAUAUAUCAAAGGAACUGCUAUCUCUGCUCAAACCCAUGCAUGAAAGAGUUUCAUAAUAGAUAGAUUGAAAAUCGUUAAUGAAGUGUUAAUUAGAAACACGAUUGAGUCAAUGUAGGAAGAGGUAGACUUGGAGAGGAAGAGGAACACGAGUCGUCUUACAUAGUUAAAAAGUCUACGUCCAUUACAGCACAAAGGU